UCCCUCAUAGCUCAGUCGGUUAAGAAGCUGCCUGCAAUGCAGGAAACCCAGGUUCGAUUCCUGGGUUGGGAA
RNAcentral lists this transfer RNA (72 nucleotides) under Ovis aries (sheep). It matches the Rfam family "tRNA". Rfam says of the family: Transfer RNA (tRNA) molecules are approximately 80 nucleotides in length. Their secondary structure includes four short double-helical elements and three loops (D, anti-codon, and T loops). Lineage: Eukaryota; Metazoa; Chordata; Mammalia; Artiodactyla; Bovidae. The record is from Rfam by way of RNAcentral.